GCACUAAGUCACUUUGUCUUUAUGGCAAAUGUGAGAUGCAGUGUAUGGAAUGUCAGAUUUCUAGUAUGAGAAAUUAACGAUUUAAGUCCUUCUUAAAUGAGGCCAUUUACCCAUAGAGGGUGCCAGGCCCGUAUAACGUUAAUGAUUACUAGAUGACAUUUCCAAAGAGUCGUGUUGCUUGAUAGUGCAGCACUAAGUGGGUGGUAAACUCCAUCUAAAACUAAAUAUAACCAUGAGACCGAUAGUAAACAAGUACCGUGAGGGAAAGUUGAAAAGAACUCUGAAUAGAGAGUUAAAUAGUACGUGAAACUGCUUAGAGGUUAAGCCCGAUGAACCUGAAUAUCCAUUAUAGAAAAUUCAUCAUUAUGAUUUUAAUAUUAACAAUAUUAUAAUAAUGGUGUGCAUUUUUUCUAUAACGGACAUUGUAAUCUAUUAACAUAAAUAUAUUUAUCAUAAGAUCAAGAAUCGUAAGAUUAUUCGAAUUAUUUUGCUUGCAAUUUAACAUAGAAUAAAUACUUCUUGAUUGGAUAAAGUGUUGAUAGAUUUAUUGUAUAUAGUGCUUAAAUAAUUGUAUUUUAUAAUAGCAUAUUAAUCAUUGAUUUUUAUGUUUAUUAUAUGCACUUAUAUGAUUAACAAUGCGAAAGAUUCAGGAUACCUUCGGGACCCGUCUUGAAACACGGACCAAGGAGUCUAACAUAUUUGCAAGUUAUUGGGUAUCAAAACCUAAUAGCGAAAUUAACAUAACUUUAAUGGGAUUAGUUUUUAGAUUAUUUAUAGUCUAUUAAUUCAAUCCCGGGGCGUUCUAUAUAGUUAUGUAUAAUAAUAUUUAUAUUAUUUAUACCUCUAACUAGAGCGUACCUUG
Molecule: ribosomal RNA, 862 nt
Filed under: Sarcophaga villeneuveana
Lineage: Eukaryota; Metazoa; Arthropoda; Insecta; Diptera; Sarcophagidae
Description: eukaryotic LSU rRNA
Rfam family: Eukaryotic large subunit ribosomal RNA
Source: RNAcentral